Molecule: long non-coding RNA, 16341 nt
Filed under: Gossypium barbadense (sea-island cotton)
Lineage: Eukaryota; Viridiplantae; Streptophyta; Magnoliopsida; Malvales; Malvaceae
Description: long non-coding RNA (GBAR_LNC013490)
Source: RNAcentral
AAGAAUCUAAAAAUAUUUAAAAUUCAUAAUUUAUUUUCUAAAAUUAUAAAAAAUGAAAUUAUAAUUGUAAUAGGCCAUUUUAACCCGGGCUCAAAUACUUAAACUUUAAAAUAAAAUACAAUAAAUUACAGACCCAGUUUUAAACCCAAUAUAAAGCCCAACUAAGCCUAAAGCCCAGAUUAUAUCAAACCCAAACUCAUUGCAAGCCCAAGUCGCUAACCCAAAUCCCAGCCUAACCCUAAGCAGUGGCAAACAGCAGAUUGGCGCCGCACGCCUCCUGCACGUCGCCCCGCAUGUCACGCACGUUGUCCCGCAACGCUCGUCCCACCUGCAAACCAUGAACAACGGGAUAUACACGCAGUAAAACUGGUAAAAGGAUUCGGCUAUAUGAAGGGAAUUGAUUUUUUGUAACUGGGAGAUAAAUUUGGGUAUUAAAAAAUUAAAGAAAAUAAAAGAAAAUAGAAAGCAAGGAUUUUAGAGGUGUUUUGAUUUUUCUUUUGUUUUUUCUCUGUUCUUUUUACCUUUUUAUAUUUUAUUUUGUUUUUCUUGCACUUCUUAAAACAAAAAUAAACGAAAAAGGAGAAAGAAAGGAGGACUUACCGUCGUGAGAGUCGUCGGAGGGCGUCCUCCCUUCGUCGGAGUCUGAAAUGGCAGAGGGGGAGAGGAGUUGCGGCGCAAUUUCAAGUUGGCAGAAGGAAUAAUGAUUUUAGGGUUUCAAAAGGGGUUUUUAUUGAGGGUUUAAACGGCGCCAUUUAAGCCUUUAACCCGUGUGACCCAACCCGCGCAUGUAGGAUCCGCGCAUUUCUCUCAAAUGGACAAUUUGCGCGAUCAGUCCUCCGCUUUUAUAACAUGCUUAAAUUGAUUCUUUCAUGUUUUCUUAAAUGUGGCCGCAUUUUCCAUUGUUUAUUUUUAAUUUGGUCCAGGCUCGCUGUUGUUUUGGAAGGCUUGGAAUAUUUCCGAAUUGAUCCUCUAUGUUAUGCGCAUUUUACAAAUUUGCUCUCUGUUUAAAUUUAUUUAUUAUUAUUUUUCUCUUCAAUUUUGUUUUGAUUACAAUUUAAAUUUUAGUAUUUGUUUUACUAAUUAAGUUUAAUAAUAGUUUGUUUUAUUAUUAUCAUUAUAAUUAGUAUUAUCAUUAUUAUAUUUACACAUGCAUACGCACUUUAUAAUAUAUAUGUAUAUAUUUUAAAUGUUUUUAUAUUCAUAUAUAUAUUUUAUGUAUAUUUUGUUAUAUUUUAUUUUCAUAGUUUUUUUUAUACAUAUAUAUACGCAUAUAUUUAUAUUUUAUAAUAUUCAUAUAGUUUUUCAUAAUUUAUAAUUCAAAUAUAUAUACAUUUUUUAUAAUAUAUAUAUACACACACUUUUCCAAAUUAUUAUAAAUAUAUUUUCUGCAUUUUUCUUAUAUAUACAUAUAUAUACACAUUUUCAUAAUUUAUUAAUAUAUUUUACUUGUAUAUUUUUAUACCUAUACAUAUUUUAUUAUUAUUUUAUUAUUUUAUUUUCAUAGUUUUAUAUAUAUGUGUAUAUACGUUUAUAAUAUUUAUAUGUUUUCCCGUAUUAUAUAAUUAAAUCAUGUUUAUAUAUUUUAUAUAAUAUAUACAUAUUUUGUAAAUAUAUAUACAUAUAAUUUAAAUUAAAAUAUUUGUUUCAUAUUACAUCAACAUUUUUUAACAUAUCUUUUAGAAUAUAUAUAUUUUGAUUUCGUCAAAACUUUAAAAUCAUUUUCUUUUGAUUCAAAGGCUUUUAACAUAUCCCUAGGUAGAACUAUGCCAAACCCCUAGAGGUCACCUGAGUAGGUAAUCUAUUUGUUUUCUUGUUUGCUUUUUGUUUUGUACUAACCCGUUUUGUUUUGUUUUUAUUAUGAUUGCAUUGUAUUUGCAUCUUAGAAAAGAGAUGUUGAUUCAAGUUCGAUUACUAACUUAGAAAGUUUAUCAUGGAAAAUGGGUUUCUUGAUAAAGUGGAAGAUAAUACGGCUGCCUGAAUAUAUUCUGAGAAAUGCAAGAAGGGUAAUGGAGGAAUACAUGACUUUACUUCAUGCCUCAAGGUCAAGCUGAUUAUUCAAGAGUUUCUGACAUUCCAACUUCCUUAAAGAUGCUGAGGAGCAUUACGGGGAUGGGCAUACGAUGGAUCAUAACCAAGAUCAAGCAAAAGGGAGGUAGAGGAGAUACCCCUUUUGAAGAACUUGCGGGAUUUAUCUUAAACAUCCGGAUGAAGAAGGAGGUCGAUGUUUCUUAAAGUAUGAGAGCGAUGUCGUAUAUGCAUCCGUUUUAUGUAAAGAAGUUUGUUUUCUAGUUAAGUUUUCUAAAUGGAAUUGAAUCAGAAUCAACGUCUCUUUUUACAUUCAUUUCAUGCAUUCGCAUUACAUGACAUCAUAUGCAUUAAAAUCCAUUAAAAAAGCUUAAUAGAGUAAAAUUAUUUCAGUUAAUUUGGAAAACCAACACUCUCACGGCACCCAAGCAAAGACUAGAGAAAUGGACCAAAGUUUGGAGAAAUUAGAGCAAAUGCAAGUGCAAAUGCAGGAGCAACUGACCAAAUUUCAGCAAGAUAUGAGAAAUCAGUUGUUAGAAUUCCAAAGAUAUAUAAUGUGCCAGUUAACCCAGUUAUUGGCUAAAGGGUUAGAAAGAGGAAAGACCCCAGCGGUCCACUUUGGGGAUAAUAAUGAGGACUCUACAUAUCCUUCAGGCUUCACCCCAACAAAUACCCAAGCACAACCAAAUGCAUAUCCACAAAGGGUAAUUGUUAACAUCCGACCCCAAUAUCAGACCAGCACCUCGGCACCGGUGAAUUUCUAGAUUGGCUCAGGUUCCAACUCGAUAGGCAAUUCAACUAAUCCUGUUGUCAUUGAUGAUCAAGCAGAAAUAGAACAGGUGAGGGUGGAGUUCCUAAAACAGUUUGAAGAUCGUUACAAACGGAAGGGGCAAGAGUGGAACUCUCAAAUCAAUACUUUAAAGGCCCCAGGGAAUAAGGGGAAUAAGGGGGAUAAUGUAGGUAGAUAUAAAAAGAGUCACUCAAAACCAAUCAUUGUGGGCCGACCAAAGACAGAAAUCACUAGCCAUCAGAGCCCUUUAAAGCGAGAAUUUUACACGAAGACAACUACAGAAGGACUUCAGUUCACGCCUAUACCGAUGUCAUAUAGCGAGCUGUAUCAAAGCCUAUUUAAUACACAUGUGGUGUCUCCCUUCUAUUUGAAACCAAUGUUGCCCCCAUUUCCUAAAUGGUAUAAUGCAAAUGCUCAGUGUGAAUACCAUACAGGAAUUGUGGGGCAUUCGAUAGAAAAUUGCACCGCUUUCAAGAAAUUGGUUGAAAGGCUCAUCAAUAUGGACAUUGUCAGAUUUGAGGAUUCAUCAAGUGCAAGAAAUUCGCUACCCAAUCAUAUUGAUAAUGGGGUGAAUGCGAUGUAUGAAAAAGUGUAGGAGAACGUUCACAUCAAUGCCAUACAUGAAGACACAAUUGAAAAUGGACCUUAUUAGAUAUUCAUCCUUAUAAACUUGGGAGUGUCCUAAAUAAUUACACUGCAAAAGAAAUCUCUGUAGUAUUUAGGACUUAUUUAGAGUAAUGUUCAAAACACACUUGCUGCUUUUAGCCUAGAGGCAAUAAGAAUUCCUUUGUGAAAUAGGCUCAUGUCUGAAUGUCGUUAUUUUAAUAAAAUGCAUCCUUGCGAUCAUUUUUGAACCAAUAUUCUUUCGGUCUUUUUGAAUAAUUAUUCUUUCAUUCUUUUAGAUUUUCUUCCACAUCAUUCAUUCAUUCAUAAUCAUAUUGUAUAAAUAAUUGUUCAUAAAUUUAUACAUUUCUUUUGUAUUUAUUAUGGGUCCCCAUAUAUCAAUGACGUGAGUGACUCUGCUACAGAUUCAGAAUCCUCUUUUGAGUAAAACAUGUGUUUGGAAGGAUUUCAUGACUUUGGAAAUGACAUAGACUGUAGCCUAUCUCCGGACUUGUUGAGGAUGGUAGAGCAAGAAGAGAACAAAUUUACCUCAUGAGGAGACAGUGGAUGUCGUGACCUUGACGGAAUAUACAUAACCAGAGAAACGAAGCAAAACCAUGUUAAGUUACUUCAAGAGUUCAAAGAUGUCUUCGUAUGGUUAUACCAGGAUACGCCCAAGAUAAGCACUAAUAUUGUAAUCUGAGCAAUAGCACAAUGUUAACAAUUUGCAGUAUGUUCAAGAUUCACAUCAUGAAUGAUGCAGUUAGACUUCUUUACCGGGGCAAUACCUUCUUUUCUGGCUAAUCCCGUUGAAGUCAAGUUGUCAUUUUUUCGUAUUUUUGUUGGAUUUCAUCCUAAUUGAAGAGGAAGAUCUAAAAUUUUCUCGUCAUAGUUAAAUUUUGCCCCAAAAGGCUCUAUGAGAGAAACCUGAUACCAAAGAAAAUCUUUCGCAUACAAAAUAAAAGUGGAAGAUCUUAUAGGGAAGACCUUAUCUGGAAUAAUAUUGAUUCUGAUCGAAAAGGAUAAUCAGGACUUGCCUAAUACUAUGAGUGCAGAUUCAAUGUAAAAAGAAAAAAGAAAAAAACCUCUAUCAGGGCAAUGUCUUUUUCUUUAGCUUAUCGUAGUUUUUCAAUUGAAGUUAAAAUUUUUUUCUCUUCGGGUAUUGGUUGAGCUGAAAUAGGAUGAAGAUCCAAUCUCGAUAAGAUCAGUUGAACUUAAUUGAAGGAAAUAGGCUAAAAGCUAUUCGUCAUGGCCAGAUGUACCAAGAAUGGAUGAUGCGAACUUAUAACAAAAAAGGGGUUCGUCCCAGAGAAUUCCACGAGAGAGACCUAGUAUUGAAGAAGAUCCUUCCUCUACAAAAGGAUUUUAGAGAAAAAUGAGUGCCAAAUUGGGAAUGUCCUUAUGUUGUAUAGAAGACAGUUUCUGGAGGAGCACUGAUUUUGAGUAAGAUGGAUAGUAAAAAACUUGUCUAAUCCUAUAAACUCAGAUUCAGUCAAGAAGUGCUUCACUUAAAGAAUGAGAGGACCAAAGUAAAAACCCGCAAAGGGCACUUUGAGUUGAAAAAAAAGAGGAAAAAUAAAAGAAGAAGAAGAGAAGAAAAAAUGUAACAACCCGGUUUUGACUCUAAUCGGACAUAGUGGUUUCAGGACCACAAGUCCGAGUCAUAAAAAUAUUUUAAUAUUAUUUUGUGUGUUUAUUUUGUGUGCAUUUGAUUGUGUGAAAUUUUCGUGUUUUAAUUUCGUCGUCUAAGUGUCCGAUUUAAUAAAAUGGCUUAAUCGCGUAAAAUGAAAAUUUAAGGGUUAAUUAUAAAAGCACCUAAUUGUUGUUGUCUUUAUAACUUAGAGGUUUUAUUAUGCAAAUAGUCCACUAUGUAAGUUAGUGGGUGGCAAAGGACUAAUGUAACCUUAUUAUAUAUGUCAUAUAUAUAUAAAGGUUAAUAUAGUAAAUUAAAAAUAAGGCUAAUAUAUGCUUAAUAUAACAAAUUAAAAGGGCCAUGCAUGUUCAUCUUUUGGCCGAAUAUUGAAGAGAAAAAGAACCAUUUGAAAGCUUUAAAGAUUCGGCACUUUGAAGCUCAAAUUGAGAUCAAGAAACGAAGAAAACGAAUUUGGAUCGGGGAAAAACGAAAGUAAUCGAAUAGUCGAUCGUGUCUGCUAAUAUCCAAGGUAAGUCUAUCAGCUAUUUAAUGUUAUCAAAUCAAUAUAUAUGUAUGUAUAUCUAUUAUGUUUGUUGUUGAGCUAUAAUUAAAAGUAAUUUAAUUGAAUAAAUUCAAAUUAUAAAUGGUAUAAAUAUGUAUAUACAAUGUUCGAAUAUAUAGGUAUAUGCUUAUAUAAAUAUUUGAAUUAAGUUAAAGUAUGAAUGGUGUAAAGGUAUAUAUAUAUAUUCAAAUAAUUAUAUAUGUAUCUAUAUGUAUAUAUACUUGAAUUUGGUUGGUUGUAUGAGAGUUAUAUAUUUAUGUGCACAUAAGUUUCGAACAUAUAUAUAUGUAGGUAAAAACAUUUGGGUUUGAUUAUAGGUAUGUAUGUUGUAAUUGUACAGAUAAGUUCGAAUAAGUAGGUAUAUGGGAGUUGGAACAUCCAUAUAUAUAUGAAUAGGUCUUGAUUAUAUUUUAAGGUAUAAAUGUUAAAUACGUACUUGGGAGUUCGAAUAUAUCUAAAUGUAUAUUCGUGUACAGAUUCUUGAAUUGAAUUGAAUGUAUGAUUUGCAAACUCUUUUGUGAUUGAAUAUGGACUACAAUGAAUGUGUGUUUGCUAUUAAUAAGUAUUUGAGGAAAUUAUUAUGUAUAUGGGAAAAUUGAGAUUUUCAGGCUUAGCGCUUAGCAGGCUUAUUGCCGGUAAAACACUUCAGACUAAAUGUCUAGCAGGCUUAAUGCCGGUGAAAUAUUUCAGACUAUAUGUCUAGCAGGCUAAGUGCCGGUGUACUGAAUCAGGCUUUAAGCCUAGCAGGCUAAAUGCCGGUGAAUCUGUUUUUAAGCAUGUGAUUAAGUGUACAAUUAUAUGAUUUUGGAUAUAUUUAAUUGAUAAGUAUAUUUAUAUAUACAUUCGGCUAAGUGCGUUUGAUGAUUAUAUAUAUAUUCGGUUUAUGCAAUUGUAAAAUAUAUAUAUGCUUUGGGAUUUUGCAUUUGAUAAAUAUAUACUUAUAAAUAUUUGGUACGCAUACUUGAUUAGUAACUACAUAUGCAUUCGAGAUAUAUAUAUUUUUGUUUAUAAGUAUUUGAUGAAAAUGAAUGCAUUCGUUCAUAUGUAUUAGAUUUGUAUUGGUUUAAAGUUUAUCAUGAGUAUACAUACACAUUCGGUUAUGAUAUGUGUAUAAUAUAUAUAUGAUCGGUUGUAUACAUUCGGUUGUAAUGUUGUUUGGUAUAAAUAAAUAUUCAAUUGAUCGCAUUCGACAGGCAUACAUAUCUGAAUAUAAAUAAAAUGGUCUGAGUACAAUAAUGUAUAAAAAAUUAGUUAUUCGUGUUAAUUGAAAUCUCAGUGAAAUAGAUUAAAAGGUUAUAUAUAUUUAUAUACAUUUAGUUAUGCUGUAAACUUACUAAGCUAUAAAAGCUUACUUUGUUUGUUUUCGUCCAUUUGAUUUUAUAGAUUUUGGAGACGCGUUACGAGCUCGGGGAUCAUCAGCAUAGUCCAUCACACUAUCGACUUCUUUUAUUAUUUUGUUAAAUAUUUGAACUUAAUCUUAUGGCAUGUAUAGGUUUGAGUACGAUGUUAAUUACAUUUUGAUUGUAAAUUAUAAUAGCUAUGCGAAAGUAAUUAAAUUUUCAUGUUGUGAUCAAUUUGGUUUUAGAAAUGGUUGUGUUUGUUCGGUAAUGCCUCGUAACCCUAAUUCGGCGACGGAGACGGGUUAGGGGUGUUACAUUUUAUUGGUAUCAGAGCUACGGUUUAGUCGAUUCUUGGACUAACGUAGCAUGUAUGAGUCUAGCUAUACAUGCCAUAUUUUUAUAUCGAGAUAAUGUGAUGACUGCUAAUGUCUAAAAAUGUGUUUUCGUAUAGUAAUGGAUCCCGAUCGAGCCGUAGCCGAUGAUGUUGAGAGUAUAGCGCCUGCUCCCACACAAGGGACAGAGCCGGUAGAUUCUCGACCGACCUCGAGUAACCAGGAGGGAGAGGCUAAACAAGCUUUCUACCAAAUGAUGAAUGACUGGUUUACUCAAUAUGUCUGAACUAAUCCGGUUGCACAACAACCUCCACCCCCGACUAAUCCACCUUCGAUUCCUAUUAUACCCCAAGUAAGUGAUCCAAUGAGAUUACUUAAGCCUCCGGUUGACAAAAUUUGAAAACACGUGGCCGAAGAGUUCAGAGCUACUGAUGAUGAUGAUGCUGAGCGAGCUGAAUUCUGGCUUGAUAAUACUAUUCGAGUGUUUGAUGAGUUAUCUUGCACCUCUGAUGAGUGCUUAAAAUGUGCCAUAUCUUUGCUACGGGACACUGCAUAUCACUGGUGGAAUACACUAGUAUCGUUGGUUCCGAAAGAGCGAGUGACCUGGGAAUUCUUUCAGAUUGAGUUCCGUAAGAAAUACAUCAGCCAGAGAUUCAUUGAUCAGAAGCGUAAGGAAUUUCUUGAAUUGAAACAAGGUCGUAUGACAGUGACAGAAUAUGAGCGAAAAUUUGUGAGACUCAGUAGAUAUGCUCGAGAAUGUAUUUCGACUGAAGCUAUCAUGUGUAAAAGAUUUGAAGAUGGGCUGAAUGAAGAUAUUAAACUAUUAGUUGGUAUACUUGAGAUAAAAGAGUUCGUAGUACUUGUUGAACGAGCUUGUAAAGCUGAGGAGCUCGGGAAAAAGAAGAGGAAAGCUGACUAUGAAGCUCGAGAUUCUCGUAAAAGAUCAUUCAGUAAAUCAUUUCAGUCGACCUCAAGGAAAUCCAGAGAGGAUCAUAACCGAUCUAAAGCUACUGCAGGGUUUCCUAAGUAUGAUCGAGAUCGACCCCCUGUGAGUUCACGAGCUACUUCAGUUGUUAGCGUUGGUAGUGUUCGACAAAAUAGAUCAGAGUGCAAGCAUUGUGGGAAAUGGCAUCCUGGAGAUUGCAGAUUACAUGAUCAGUCUUGCUUUAAGUGCGGUUCGAAGGAUCAUUUCAUUUGAGAGUGUCCGAUAGUAGCUGAGCAAAACAUCGUGCAGAAUACCAGACCGAGUAAUGUGCCAGUACGAGGUAGACCGCCGAGGUAAUUGAGUAAUGUAAGUGGCAGUCAGAGAGGAACAAAGGACACAGCAGUUCGAUUUGAGGCUCGUGCACCUGCCAGAGCAUAUGCUAUCCGUGCUCGGGAGGAGGCUUCUUCUCUAGAUGUUAUUACUGGUACUUUCACUCUUUAUGAUACUAACGUCAUUGCAUUGAUUGAUCCUGGUUCGACUCAUUCUUAUGUGUGUGAGACUUUAGUAUUCAGUAAGACUUUGCCUAUUGAGUCUACUGAGUUUGUAAUUAAAGUAUCGAACCCCCUGGGCCGGUGUGUUUUGGUUGACAAAGUGUGCAAGAAUUGUCUGUUGAUGAUUCGAGAUUUAUGUUUUCUGGCUGAUUUGAUGUUGUUACCAUUCGACGAGUUUGAUAUAAUUCUGGGUAUGGAUUGGUUAACUCUGCAUGAUGCUAUAGUAAACUACAAACAGAAAACUAUUGAUCUACGGUGUCAGAAUAAUAAGAUUAUUCGGAUUGAAUCUAAUGAUCUGAAUGGUUUACCAGCAAUAAUAUCCUCGAUGUCGGCUCAGAAGUAUGUAAGAAAAGGUUGUGAAGCUUACCUUGCAUUUGUUCUCGAUAGUAAAGUGACCGAAAAGAAGAUUGAAUCUGUGCCAGUAGUGUGUAAGUAUUCAGACGUGUUUUCUGAAGAAUUACCGGGUUUGCCACCUAUUCGAGAGGUAGAGUUUGGUAUUGAGUUAGUACCAGGGACGACUCCAAUCUCGAUAGCUCCGUACCGUAUAACACCUACCGAAUUAAAAGAAUUGAAAGUACAGUUGCAAGAGUUGACUGAUAAAGGUUUUGCACGACCGAGUUUCUCUCCUUGGGGUGAACCAGUUCUAUUUGUGAGAAAGAAAGACGGAAUGAUGAUAAUGUGCAUUGAUUACCGACAACUCAAUAAGGUGACUAUAAAGAAUAAGUAUCCGUUACCACGGAUUGAUGAUUUGUUCGAUCAGUUGAAAGGGGCUGCUGUGUUUUCGAAGAUAGAUCUGAGAUCAGGCUACUAUCAGUUGCCAGUUAAAGACUCUGAUGUGCCAAAGACUGCUUUCCGAACGAGGUACGGACAUUAUGAGUUUUUUGUUAUGCCUUUCGGACUUACUAAUGCACCUGCUAUUUUCAUGGAUUUGAUGAAUCGGAUCUUUAGGAAGUAUCUGGAUCGGUUUGUGGUAGUAUUUAUUGAUGACAUUUUGAUCUACUCUCGUGAUGAAAAUGAGAAUGCUGAACAUCUGAGAUUUGUGUUACAAACUUUGCGAGAUAAGCAGUUGUAUGCAAAGUUUAGUAAAUGUGAGUUCUGGUUACGUGAAGUCAGUUUUCUGGGCCAUGUUGUAUCAGCAUCGGGUAUUCGGGUUGAUCCGAGUAAAAUUUCAGCUAUACUUGAUUGGAAACCUCCAAGGAAUAUUUCGGAAGUUCGAAGCUUUCUGGGGAUUGCUGGCUAUUAUAGACGUUUUGCAAAAGAGUUCUCUAUGAUUGCGACCCCGAUGACAAAGCUACUACAAAAAGACGUUAAGUUUGAGUGGUCAAAAAAGUGUCAGAAAAGCUUUGAUCAGUUGAAAGUUCUUUUGACCGAAGCUCCAGUUCUAGUUCAACCCGAAUCGGGUAAAGAAUUUGUUAUCUAUAGUGAUGCAUCUUUAAAUGGUUUGGGCUGUGUUUUGAUGCGGAAAGGUAAAGUUGUAGCCUAUGCCUCGAGACAGUUAACCGCAUGAAAAGAACUAUCCGACACAUGAUCUGGAAUUGGCCGCUAUUGUAUUUGCGUUAAAAAUAUGGCGUCACUAUCUGUUUGGCGAAAGAUGUCAUGUUUAUUCCGAUCACAAAAGCCUGAAAUAUUUGAUGACUCAGAAAGAUCUGAAUUUGAGACAGCGUCGAUGGUUAGAAUUGCUGAAAGAUUACUAGCUUGUGAUUGACUAUCAUCCGGGAAAGGCUAAUGUUGUUGCUGAUGCCCUAAGUCGAAAAUCACUGUUUGCUUUGAGUGCAAUGAACGCACAUAUGGUUAUGUCUGAUGAUGGUGCUAUAGUAGCUGAGUUGAAAGCAAAACCGUUAUUUGUUCAACAGAUUUGUGAAGCCCAGAAGGUCGAUAAUGAUUUACUUGCAAAACGAGCUCAGUGUGACUUAAAUGUUGAUUCAGAAUUUCUAGUUGAUGCUGAGGAUUGUUUGAGAUUCAGAAAUCGAUUAUGUGUUCUGAUAAAUUCAAAUUUAAUACAGAUGAUUUUGAAUGAAGCUCAUAAUAGCCGAUUUUCUGUUCAUUCGGGAAGUACAAAAAUGUAUAACGAUCUGAAACAGCACUAUUGGUGGCAUGGUAUGAAACGAGACAUUUCUGACUUUGUUUCGAAAUGUUUAAUUUGUCAGCAAGUUAAAGCCGAGCAUCAGGUACCAUCUGGGUUGCUUCAGCCGAUCAUGAUACCUGAAUGGAAAUGGGACAGAGUUACAAUGGAUUUUGUAUCCGGUUUACCGUUAACAUCCAGCAAGAAAGAUGCAAUUUGGGUUGUUGUUGAUAGAUUGACAAAAUCGGCUCACUUUGUUCCGAUUCGUAUUGAUUAUUCACUUGAUAAACUUGCGGAAUUGUACAUUUCUCAGAUUGUGAGAUUGCACGGAGUGCCUAUUUCUAUUAUUUCAGACAGAGACCCGAUAUUUACAUCACGGUUUUGGAAGAAAUUACAAGAUGCUUUAGGUACGAAACUACAUUUUAGCACAGCUUUUCAUCCGCAAACAGAUGGUCAAUCUGAGCGAAUCAUUCAGAUACUUGAGGACAUGUUGAGAUGUUGCAUUCUCGAGUUUGAAGGUACGUGGGAACGAUAUUUAUCUUUGAUUGAAUUUGCUUAUAAUAACAGCUUUCAAUCUAGUAUCAAAAUGGCACCUUUUGAGGCUUUGUACGGUCGUAAAUGUCGUACACCACUGUAUUAGACCGAGCUCAGUGAAAAUAAGAUACACGGGGUUGAUUUGAUUAAAGAGACCGAACAAAAAGUGAAAGUGAUUCGGGACAGUCUGAAAUCAACAUCGGAUCGUCAAAAAUCUUAUGCGGAUUUGAAAAGAAAGGAUAUAGAAUUUCAGAUCGGGGAUAAAGUGUUUUUAAAAGUCUCAUCGUGGAAGAAAAUACUCAGAUUCGGUCGUAAAGGCAAAUUAAGUGUACAAUUAUAUGAUUUUGGAUAUAUUUAAUUGAUAAGUAUAUUUAUAUAUACAUUCGGCUAAGUGCGUUUGAUGAUUAUAUAUAUAUUCGGUUUAUGCAAUUGUAAAAUAUAUAUAUGCUUUGGGAUUUUGCAUUUGAUAAAUAUAUACUUAUAAAUAUUUGGUACGCAUACUUGAUUAGUAACUACAUAUGCAUUCGAGAUAUAUAUAUUUUUGUUUAUAAGUAUUUGAUGAAACUGAAUGCAUUCGUUCAUAUGUAUUAGAUUUGUAUUGGUUUAAAGUUUAUCAUGAGUAUACAUACACAUUCGGUUAUGAUAUGUGUAUAAUAUAUAUAUGAUUGGUUGUAUACAUUCGGUUGUAAUGUUGUUUGGUAUAAAUAAAUAUUCAAUUGAUCGCAUUCGACAGGCAUACAUAUUGAAUAUAAAUAAAAUGGUCUGAGUACAAUAAUGUAUAAAAAAUUAGUUAUUCGUGUUAAUUGAAAUCUCAGUGAAAUAGAUUAAAAGGUUAUAUAUAUAUUUAUAUACAUUUAGUUAUGCUGUAAACUUACUAAGCUAUAAAAGCUUACUUUGUUUGUUUUUGUCCAUUUGAUUUUAUAGAUUUUGGAGACGCGUUACGAGCUCGGGGAUCAUCAGCAUAGUCCAUCACACUAUCAACUUCUUUUGGUAUUUUGUUAAAUAUUUGAACUUAAUCUUAUGGCAUGUAUAGGUUUGAGUACGAUGUUAAUUACAUUUUGAUUGUAAAUUAUAAUAUCUAUGCGAAAGUAAUUAAAUUUUCAUGUUGUGAUCAGUUUGGUUUUAGAAAUGGUUGUGUUUGUUCGGUAAUGCCUCGUAACCCUAAUUCAGCGACGGAGACGGGUUAGGGGUGUUACAAAAAAGAUGUGAAAAAAUGAAAAGGAAAAAUGAAAAAUGGAAAAAGUAAAAAUGGAGAGGCUAAGGUGAAAACCUGCAAAGGGCACCUUAGACCAAAGGGGAUUUGAGUUGAAAACCCGAAAAGGGCAGCUCAAAUUUUGAUCAGAAUAGGGCUGGAAGUGAUCAGAGUGGCUCAGAUUUUGAUUGGAAUGGGGCAUGUGGUGGUCUUGAUAUACCUGAAUCAGUAGGAAAGGGUAUGCGACAUCUUAGGGCAUCGACAGAGUAUUGUAGAUAUCCUAAACACAUGUCAAACUCAGAAUAGUGUUUAGGAAAUUUGUACAGAGAAGUUCAAGCUGCGUUAUCUGGGGCACCUAGUCUUCAUACUAUUGUCUGUUCUUGGAAUACUUCAUUCUUUUUUAAGAUACGAUUCAAUUCCUCUUGUAUUCUUAAUAUUUAUGAUAAUAUGUUCAUUUCAAGCUAUGUUCUCAAACCAAUUCUAUUUUAUCUUUUAUUUUGUUCUUUUUGCAAACGUGUUGCCUUAAAAUAAUGAUCAAUGGACUAAUAAAACUUUCGUAAGGGAAGUUUUGCAUAUUACUGUAGAAGUUUCUAAAUAAUACAGUAACCUAAAACAGGACUAUUGUUUAGAACGCACCAAGUUUAAAGGUUGAAAUAACUGAGAAGGAAAGGUCUAAAUUGAGACUAUCCCUUCAGAUUUUGUUGUCAUAACAUUGAUUGAACAAAGUGACAAGAUGUCUUGUUGGUGAAAAAGCGUCAAUGAACAAGCAAGCAAUGAUCACCUUGUAAUAAAAAGAGGUUUCCUCGGAGAAAAAAAUUCUUCAUUUGUGCAUAGGCAUUUGGUAUGACACCUUUAGAACGGUAUAAAGGACCAAAGUGCUUCACCUUGCGAUAAGAGAAGAUUGAGAGGCCAGAUUUUUUUCUACCCUUGGGUUACAGCGGAAGAAAAAUGGUACCAAUGUUGUAUCCCAGUAGAUUGAACUUUGAAGUUUACAGUGGGGGAAAUCUGAUCAAGUGUUUCUUUAGAGAGGCUAGCUGAGCAAGAGGACGUUGUAGCACGUCAGUGAUACGGUCUUAAUAAACUUUGAGUAAUGACUGCCUAAGCGGGAUCAUUCUCGGAAAAAAUGACAUUUUGCAAUUAUCAAGCGUCAUUCAUACAUGCCUAGUUAGGAGCAUUUGAUUCAUUCUGAUCAUGAUAUCCUAAUCACUAGGCAUAAUUAGGUUCAUAAGUUGAAUUAUACAGGUCAUGUUCUUCCGAGGACAAACCGGUGAAACUUUAGCCUUGCCUUCCUGAGUUUGCAGCGGAGCAGACUGAAGAUAGCAGAUCUUGCCUUCCUAUACUGACAGAGAAGCAGAUCGAAGAUACCAGCCUUGUCUCCCUGGGCAGUAGUGAAGUAGGUUGAAAAUGACAGAUCUUGCCUUCCUGUACUGACAGCGAAGCAGAUCGAAGAUACCAGCCUUGUCUCCCUGGGUAGUAGUGGAGUAGGUUGAAAAUGACAGAUAUUGCCUUCUUGUACUGACAGCGAAGCAGAUCGAAGAUACCAGCCUUAUCUCCUUGGGCAAUAGUGGAGUAGGUUGAAAAUAGCAAAUCUUGCCUUCUUGUACUGGCAGCGAAGUAGAUCGAAGACACCAGUCUUAUCACCUUGACAGCGCAAUUAAAAAGAUUGAAGCCACAACGGCGGAUCUUACUUCCCUGGCGGUGCAGUGGAGCAGAUUGAAGUCACAACGGCAGAUCUGGUUUCCCCGACAGCGCAAUUAAAAAGAUUGAAGCCACAACGGCAGAUCUUACUUCCCUGGCGGUGUAAUGGAGCAGAUUAAAGUCACAACAGCGGAUCUGGUUUCCCCGACAGCGCAAUUAAAAAGAUUGAAGCCACAACGGCAGAUCUUACUUCCCUGGCGGUGUAAUGGAGCAGAUUGAAGUCAUAACGGCAGAUCUGGUUUCGCCGAUAGCGUAAUUAAAAAGAUUGAAGCCACAAUGGCAGAUCUUACUUCCCUGGCGGUGCAGAGGAGCAGAUUGAAGUCACAACGGUAGAUCUGGUUUCCCCGACAGCGCAAUUAAAAAGAUUGAAGCCACAACGGCAGAUCUUACUUCCUUGGCGGUGUAAUGGAGCAGAUUGAAGUCACAACGGCGGAUCUGGUUUCCCCGACAACGCAAUUAAAAAAGAUUAAAGCCACAACGGCAGAUUUUUACCUCCUUAGCGGUGCAGUUGAACAGAUGGAAGCUACAACGGUGGAUCUUCUUUCCUCGACAUUGUAAUUGGAUAAAUUGAAGAAGAUAAUCCUAUCUCCCUGAAGAUGCAUUGGAGCGGAUUAACACCACGGAUCUUAUCUCUCUGAAAUUGCAGUAAAGCAGAUCGUAUCAGACUCACCUUUGAAGUUGUAGCAGAAUAAGUUGAAGCUACGAGUCUUAUCUCCCUGAAGUUACGGUGGAGCAGACUAGAGAUUGCAAGUUUUGUUCUUUUGAGAAGCUACAAAGUACAAGUCCUAUCUCCUUGAUGUUGCAGUGGAGUGGAUUGAAGUACCGAUCCCUAUACCUCUGCAAACACAGUAGAUUGGAAUAAGGUUACUUGAAGAGCGCUAAGGUCCAGUAUGCCCGGGCAAAAUUGGCCAUUUUAAAGUCUUUGCUCUGUUCCCGUUACACGACAACGAGCAAAGAGGGGUAGCUGUAAUAGGCCAUUUUAGCCCGGGCCCAAAUACAUAAACUUUAAAAUAAAAUACAAUAAAUUACAGACACAGUUUUAAACCCAAUAUAAAGCCCAACUAAGCCUAAAGCCCAGAUUACAUCAAACCCAAACCCAUUGCAAGCCCAAGUCGCUAACCCAAAUCCCAGCCUAACCCUAAGCAGUGGCAAACAGCAGAUUGGCGUCGCACGCCUCCUGCACGUCGCCCCGCAUGUCACGCACGUUAUCCCGCAACGCUCGUCCCACCUGCAAACCACAAACAACGGGAUAUACACGCAGUAAAACUGGUAAAAGGAUUCGGCUAUAUAAAGGGAAUUGAUUUUUUGUAACUGGGAGACAAAUUUGGGUAUUAAAAAAUUAAAGAAAAUAAAAGAAAAUAGAAAGCAAGGAUUUUAGAGGUGUUUUGAUUUUUCUUUUGUUUUUUCUCUGUUCUUUUUACCUUUUUAUAUUUUGUUUUGUUUUUCUUACACUUCUUAAAACAAAAAUAAACGAAAAAGGAGAAAGAAAGGAGGACUUACCGUCGUGAGAGUCGUCGGAGGGCGUCCUCGCUUCGUCGGAGUCUGAAAUGGCAGAGGGGGAGAGGAGUUGCGGCGCAAUUUCAAGUUGGCAGAAGGAAUAAUGAUUUUAGGGUUUCAAAAGGGGUUUUUAUUGAGGGUUUAAACGGCGCCAUUUAAGCCUUUAACCCGUGUGACCCAACCCGCGCAUGUAGGAUCCGCGCAUUUCUCUCAAAUGGACAAUUUGCGCGAUCGGUCCUCCGCUUUUAUAACAUGCUUAAAUUGAUUCUUUCAUGUUUUCUUAAAUGUGGCCGCAUUUUCCAUUGUUUAUUUUUAAUUUGGUCCAGGCUCGCUGUUGUUUUGGAAGGCUUGGAAUAUUUCCGAAUUGGUCCUCUAUGUUAUACGCAUUUUACAAAUUUGCUCUCUGUUUAAAUUUAUUUAUUAUUAUUUUUCUCUUCAAUUUUGUUUUGAUUACAAUUUAAAUUUUAGUAUUUGUUUUAUUAAUUAAGUUUAAUAAUAGUUUGUUUUAUUAUUAUCAUUAUAAUUUGUAUUAUCAUUAUUAUAUUUACACAUGCAUACGCACUUUAUAAUAUAUAUAUAUAUAUAUUUUAAAUGUUU